Molecule: long non-coding RNA, 999 nt
Organism: Alosa sapidissima (American shad)
Lineage: Eukaryota; Metazoa; Chordata; Actinopteri; Clupeiformes; Clupeidae
Exons: 3
Source: RefSeq, a predicted model, not a curated record
ACUGAAAGAUGUUACAUUUUCUGAAAAUUACCAGUUCAAAGAGUACCAUAGUUGAAGAAUAACCCUGCAGCAAUAGCAUAUGUCUUAUAUUAACGUCAAUUCCAGUUUUGUUAACACGGAUAGGAAGCCAAGUUGUAGCUCCGAACUUACUGACAAUAGCCUAAGCAUGAUCAAUGGCAAUGUCUGACUCUGAUAGGCCUGCCUAUACAGAUAGAGAAGAAGAGACUGUCUGACUGACUUUUGUGCAAAAAAGUGAAAUAAUACUGUUCAUAAUAUUUUCCCCCUCAGGACCAGAUGGCUGUGUGACAUGUUUUCAGUUCUGUGCAAGGAACCACCAUCACACCAUGGAAGAUGUCAAUGUCAACAGCAGAAGGAAAAUUACUCUGCAGGCCCUUCCCAUCUUCCUGUGGGAAGAUGGAUUUUUUAAGACCUAGAAUGCAGAAGAAAUUGACCUGCCAGACUUCUCGGAUGCAGCUGUAGCUAUUCCCACUGUCUCGGGUGAUACAGACUCCCUUGUGAAGUUUGCUCCUGCUAUCCAUUCUAUAGUUCUUGACGGAGAUAUUGUUGUGUGUGAUAUAGCAGAGUUGACAGAGACGUUAAUUUUGCUAUUUGGUUUAAUUUAUGCACUUCAUCUCGAUUAUCCAAAGAAAUUGUCCUACAUAUUUAAUUUCAUUCAAAAAAUUAUACUGGGUUUGGAAGACCUAAAGCGAUUACCUCCUAGACUUAGCCUUAAAAAUAAAUUGCUGAUGAUGGAUGAGUAAGCAGUCUGUUCUCCAAAUCCCAUGGUAGAUACUGCCAGCAUGUUAAUACUCAAGCAAGCAAUGGAGCUUUUCGCUUUUAUUUAUGUUGGCCUAUUAUUUUGUUAUUUGAGUAUUAUUACCUUUGUUGAAGUGGUAAAAGGUUGUUAUUUCUUUUAUUUUCUGUAUUAACCGCAUUGCUGGGGAUGCUGUUCUGUUAGAAUUCUAAUGGAAUUCUUAAAUAAAUGGAAUCUGCAUUGAA